CAAAGUCUGAGGCCUUGUCAAAUACCCAGUAUUAACUUUGGAUACUGACCCAGAAGUGGAGCAUUGCAGAGGUAAGAGCAUGGGCAGGAGAAAAUCAGUAAGAUGUUUCCUGUAAAAGCCUUUUGCCAGACAAGAGGAAUCAUUACCACGAUGAUACUUCUAAUUAUAAUGUCAUUAGGGCACCACUGCAGGUUCCUAUGGCGCAUGAAGUUUUUCAGCAUCUUGAUCCAAAAUGGGCAAAAUGUAGGCAUUAACCCUUUCACUGGAAGUAGACUUGAAUAUCUAGGCAAGCUGAAAGAACACAACUUAUUUUGAAGUUAAGUCAUAGUAUUGCUGAGAGUUCUGGAAAAUUUAGCAGUUGUAAAGAAUACUGAAGAGUAAUUCCCCUGAUCCUUCUGCAUUCAUGCCAGAUGUCACAGAUGGACAAUUGAUGAUAUGUGUUUCUCAAGACACCAAAAAGGUAAAGAUAAUGUACUUUGUUGCUGAUCUAAUUUUUGUCUGACUGGAAAACAGGACGCGAAGUUUCUGGCACAAAGUUGUUGCCCAAACCUUUGAAGAAUAGCCAAGAGCAGAUAACAAACAGGCCUACAGACAAUAUUGCUCAAAGUCACAUUCAACUCCUUAAGCAGCUGUUCAAUCUGUGAAGUGAAAAAUUCUUCUAUUUUUGUGUAAUUUUCAAACUGCUGAUGAUACUAUAACAUAUUCUCUCGGCUUUUCUCUUUGUUUAGGCAGCCUGGAUUUAUACCUUCAAAUCUUGGCUCUAGGAUGGUUCCAAAAGCACAAUCAUGCAUGCAGAUACCACCAAACGUGUCAAAAAUGUUAUGCUAUUAAAUGCUAUGAUAAAACCUUCUACUUAGUGCUACAGUGCUUCUAGAAUUUGUCUUACAGGUCCAAGUUGAUCUUGCCUGUAACUGACCUGUAAAGGAACAUUUCCUGGCUUUGCACAGUGCUGACACUGUGUUCGUGUUGCUCUGGACUGAGUCUAGCUCCUGGUUUGCUCUUCAGGAGUCAGACAGUUAAACCACAAGCCAACUCUGCCACUCUGGAACAAAAUAACAUCCUCUUCAGUGUUUCAGGAUUUACAGAAUGUUAAAUGGGCACAGCGUUCCCCCAGAAUCCCAACCCAGUAGGGUGUUCCCAGGCAGGGGCUACUCCAAGCUUAGGCGUGCAUAGGAGAUCCCAGAUUAGAAGCCUACUGCCAGAGAUACCUUGAGGAAGGGGAUUUUGAGCACUGCGUUAUGCCUUAUGCAGACAGCGUGAAUGAUGGGAUGUCCAGUUUUCCAAUGGACAAAAUUGCACAGGGCAGGUUGAUCAGAGUAACAGAUACCAUGACAACCAAAUAUGUUCAAAGCAAAAGGACAAAAGACAAGAGAGGAAUUUUAAAGGGGGAGGAGGCAGCAAUAACAUUAUUAAUAUAUCCCUGUGUUCUGAAGGAGUGGCUUUUUUUGUGAAACUCAGCAAGUUGUGACCCUGAGCAGUGCCACUGCCGUAGCGCAAUCUGCGUGGUACAAAGUUGGGAUGUGGCAUGAAGAUUUUGUGAAUUCCAGAAGCUCCUCUUUGAUGACUAAGUAGUUAUUAGCUCUUUGAGACUGAGUACCAUUUGGGUAAUUGGCAAGUGGACUGUGACCUGAAGGACUGAUAAACUGGAGGGAAAUCAUUCAAAAUUCUUUUCAGUUUUCCUCCAUACUGCUUUUGUUUCAUGUUCAGACAACUCAAUCUAAAACAUGAAACGUUAUUUUCAGAAGAGCAAUCAUAAUUGGCAUAAUUUGAAGAAAAAAAAAACUAGUAGCACUUGCUAAUAUGGGCAGAAUUCAAUUAAUAAAACACCACAUACUGUGGCUGGUUUGUUUCUAAAAUACACUUAUGUAAUUUAAAAGACAAAUGUGUUGUCUGUGGUGGUCAUUAUUUUAAAGACAGCAGGGUUUAUCCCUUACAUCCCAUUUUUUAAUCUGUGGUUUUAUUGACACUUUGAAAGCUAACAGCCUAGCAGGUUGUUCCUAGGUAGGAAUUCUACCCAAAAGAACAGUUUGUAGAACUGUACUCAUUUAACUGACAUUACAAAGUUGUCCUGCACAUGCAAAAAAAGAACUUUUCACAUGAUGUGAGAAAGACUCUACACCUGUGAUAACGAAGAACACUUCCCAUUAGCAAUGUAAGUAUGUAGAUUUGUCGUUACUUAUUCAGAAAUCAGCCUGCAGGCCCAAGAUGACCUGCUCUUCACCUCACCAAUCCCGCUCCUGCUGCAUCUCACAUGAGGUAGGUGCACUUCUAUUUCAACCCUAAAAGUGGGACUGUUCAUCUUUCUGAAUCAGCUACAUGGGCUGAGUCCUUCUCUUCCACUGCACCAAAUCCUUGCAGGGACGUGUUUUCAGGUGAGCUUUAUUAUUCAGUGUGCACCUUUAUAAGGUUCUGGAAGGCAAAGCUCUCAGGCCACCUUACUCGUUUUUGCAUAGUACCAAAGAGUGUUUUUUGAAAGCCUUUUAGGAUCAGCUUUUUUCUUGGAGUGGUGUCAAUCAUCAAGAAUUUUUAAAUAUUUUACCUAACCAACUACUACUUAUUCCUUUUGAAAGAAAAGCAAAUGAUUACAUGCAGCCCUGGCCAUUUUGCACUCACAUAUCCCUACCUUAUCUCUGCUCCAUAAAGCACCCAGAAGAUGUGUGUGGGCUCCGGUCUGCUCCUCACUUUCACUGCCCACUGAGGGACUUCAAGCAUGAAAGAGCUGUCCUGGUGCACACCCACCUCCGGACAUGGAGAGGAAAUCCCAAGUGAGUACUUUAGGAUAAGUACCCUGAGAUGGUCUUUGGUUGGCUUUGGUUUUCAUACAUUUGUGACAUGAAAUCACCUAAAAACGUAACUUUGCAGUUUAGAUAGAUCUUUGAUGGAAAAAAUGUUUCAGUUAACCUCAUGUAUAAUAAUGGGUAAUUACCUCAGUUCAUAUCUCCUGGAAAUCCCUUUUUAAUACUUUUUUUAUUAUUAUUAUUGUUUUGGGCUACAAAGCAAUUUGCAUGAUGUUUUUUCUCCUUCCCUAGCUAUCUCUCCCUCUCACCACUGCUCACCUUUAUAAACUGAUUUCUGCCUUCUUCCUGGGCUACAAAAUGACAGCGCUUACUAUCUGUCCAGUCGUCUGUUCCUGUUUAGCCAGUAAGUGGAACAUUUCCUAUGACUUUCUUCAGAUAAUGAUCCUCUUUUUCCACAUCUAGGGGGCCUCUAUUGUAUAUAAUCUCUGCAAGAUAAGAGCUUAAUAAAUAACUCUUUUUUAUAGUAUUUUUUUUUUAAUUCUGUACGUCUAGAACACCUGCUCUGCUGCUGCUUGUAGAUUUUUAGGUAAUUUGACUUUAAUUUUUAUAUAAAGAAGAGAUAUGAAACUUCCUCCUGACAUAAUUAGAAAACUAAAAUGUAAGUUUGCUCGCUGAAAACUAUAUCUUGGAGUUCUUUUGCAAUACAAGUUAAUUAACUGGAUUUAGAUAUUUGCAAGACGAUAUAUUUAAUGGGAUUACUGCUCAUAUAAUGUUCUCAGUGACUGAUUUGGAAUCUAAGCUCAGGGAACAGAAUACCGAAUUUCCAGCUCUUUGAGAGUUAAUGUUGUGUUAAGGAAAAGUACAAUUUGAACCUCAUUGUUCAUGAAUAGCGAAGUUAUUCCGGUGAAAUGGAGCCGGUGCCUACAAGGGCUACACGAGGCAGAUGCAUGAGCGGGAGCGCAGACAGCGUCAUUCCUGCGAGUGCUCGGCUACAGAUAUCCCCGCACCUGAACUCCUGGCAAGUUCAAGGCAAUUGCGUAUCUCAUCACAACAUAAUGGCCCUUUAUUCAGCCCCCGUCUCCCAAGUGGGAUCAAUUAGAUGCUUUGGUCUGCAGGCUUGAGAAUAAACAUUUGUGUUUUCGUUUAUAUUUAGAGUGAAAAUGAAGACGCGUGGCCACAGCCGUUCUGCCCGCAUCCGUCGUGUUUUGAAACAAAGGUUUAAUCAGCUCUUUCAAAAUAUUGAUUGCCUUUUUAAUAGGAAAAGGUAGAAAGUUAAAUGACAGCAAGCUCUGGGGAAAAAUGCAAUAGCCCUGCACAGAACAUUUCAGUGCGCCAAUAAAUCUCGCAUUAGCGUCUAUCUUCUCAUUAAGGCAAAUAUAUUUCUAUGUGUCAAUUUGGUUCACUACAAUGUUAGAGUUUCACUCCUAACACAGGAUUUCUCUAAUGAAUAUGGUAAUUUAAAUCUUAUGAUCAGAGUACUACUUUUAUAGAAAUUUGAACAUUUUUUGUUUAAAUGCUAUUAACCGUUUCAAUAUUAGCUCAGUCAAAUAGCUAUUAGAUGGGGAAAUUUAUAUUCUCACUAUAAGGAAUGGAUGUGUAAUUCUACAGUGCUUCUACAUUCUAACACUUUUUUAAAGUACUUGACAAGUAGAAUGGUGAUUCGUGUUUAACGUGUUCGAUUUUAAAAUUUAACCAGCAUUCCAAAGCUCUGGUGAGUUCAAAUGCCUUAACAUUUUUAUUUAUGAUUGUAAUUUUAUUUUUAAGCAUUGAUAAAGUGAAGUCUUAAAAAUCUAACUGGAUAAGAACAUUUAGAUGACAGUGGUUCACCAGGACACAAGUGGGAAAGGGAAAGAAAAUCCCAUGGAGAGAAGGAAACUCUUAUAUACCUGCAUGCAUCUUCCUAAGAUAUGACACAAAAUACUACUGAAGUGAUACUUGCCUUGUUUUGAUCUUGAUUUGGGGGGGAGGUUGUUUGGUUUUGAAUGACCUGUCAAACUGAGAGUUGUGCCAAGGCAACCUUGGCAUCUGAUGUUUUACAUGGCUGCUACGUUACAAGUAUUCCAUUCCAAGUAUUUUAGUCCUUGAAUAAAUUGCUCUUAUUAAGCUAAUUUUGGAUCCAUUCUGUUUAUGAAUGCAUAAAAAUAUUCCUGACUGUUUUCCAGGCUUUUCAAGACAACUAUGAGAUGUACCCUAUGAUGUGAGCAAUCACUAAACAGACUACAACAGAUUAAUAGUUCACAGAAACCUCUUAAAACAUCCUAAGCUCAUAAAUUUGUAAAGAGUUUGUGAUCUUGAGUUAUUAUAUUCUAUGAUUUUCCAUCAAAGGAAUUUGAAUCGUGCCUUUAUAUUCCUGUCCUGUAGCAAAAUAUGCUUGUUUCCAGCCAGGGCUUUCACUGAUGUAAACCCAGAUACUGGUGUUCCUGGAUUGAACAGCAAUGCAACCCUACGAGGGGGAAUUCCAUAGCUGAGAGAGAGCUUUUUUUUCUCAGUAUGUGUCAUGGAAAAGAAAAACACGAUCAUUUAACAACUUUCUUCCAAGCAUGAGCGCGUCUUUGAGCUUACAAAGUCAGGUUUUUGUGAUGAAGAGCUUUCAUUCAUAGGUAUUUCUUUAAAAAAAAAAAAAUACAACCAAUUGUGGAACUAGCAAGAUGAUGGUUAUGAGUGCACAGCAAUAUCCCAUGUCCAGGAACUGCAUCUGCAGCAUCAGAGUGCAGGAUGAAGAGCAUUUCAGGAAGGUAGGAUUCAAUGAACCCACGGCAGUUUGUCAGGAACUCUACAACAAGUAGUCCCAGUGCUUUUCUUUCAUAUUGAAUACAUGGAAUUAGUGCUCUUAGUGCACACAGAGAGCAGGAAGAUAACAAACUACUGCUUGGACAAAGCAGAUUUGACCUACAUAUAGGAGUGGACGCAGCCAAGGGUGGAGCUUCUGAUUGAAUGGUGUUAGCAUCAGUUGUGGUUGGGAAUUUUGCAAACAGUUACAACAGCAGUGAAGAACUUAUUACAAAUAAGUCCCGUAAGUCUGGAUAUUCUGCUGUUCACGAGGAAUAUAAAAUGAGUGCAGACUGGUGGAACUUAGAUGAAACCAUGCCUAAGACAUAAGAACACACCGUCUGUCAGAACGGAAGUACUUUACAAGUCAAGCGUUGCCAGCCAGAACAUCUGAAAAUGUUUUGACAGUAUCAGAAUGUAUCUUUUGGAAUGAACUGAUAAUGCUGUUUUGUCUUCCAAUCCAACUUUUUUUUUCUCUCAGCUUUCUGUUUUACUGAAAGAAUAAGUGGAACUGAAGCUAAGGGUGGCAGAACAUGUGUGUAAAUUAGAUUAAUUUUUCUCCUAGUUGCAGAAAGCAGAAUAGUUUCUAGUUUAUCUUGACAGAUGCAUUUCACAACUAUCUUCUAUCUUAUGCCUUCAAUCCAGAGAGAGGUGAGAAAAAUACAGUGCUGUCCUAUUGAAAAGGCAAUAUCUAAAACUACUCAGCAGUUUGUUGCUGCAUUAGUCCAAGAAUAAUUUAAUUCUGUACUAACAGCAAUUUAGAAAGCACGAAAAUGAAGCUAGAACAUUUCUAAACUAAUUGUUUGCUACACACGUUGAUUAACAGUGCUCUGCAGGAAUUAAUUGAUCCAAGGGCAGGAUCUGGCACUACGGCAGCAACGCUCUUCUUGCAGUGCUCAUAUGAGGUGACUGCACUCACAGCUCCUCAGACUGUGCUACGAAUUGUUUUUCAAACACAUCAUCUGUCCUUGCAGAGAGCCGCUGGAGAUCCUCAGACCAGGCCUGAGCACAGCUAGGUAUUGGCUGUUUCAAUUACAGCUCAAAUACAUCACGCAGAUGGAGGAGUGCACUGGGCAUGCAUUUGGCAUCCCAGGGCAGAUGGCUUUUCCCAAAAUGAGAGCCUGUGGAAAGCUGUUUUCAUCUUCCCAAGCUUCUGGCCUGAUGGACUUCAGCACAAAUGCGUUUCCAAAUAAUGAAUCUGCAGUUCACUUUCUGGCCGAGGUGAACGAGCACACGUUAACUCAUUCAGAAAGGAGAUGAAAAGCUCACAUUCAGGAUGCAUUAAUCUGAAAACAAGUGUACUUUUGUGUCUGGGGAGUAUUAUUUUCAUUGCCAUCAAUUUAGAACAUAGAUAGACUGUGAUUCUAGCUUCACUAUCAGGUUGCCCCACAGGCUGAGACCCCUCACCAGGCCAUUCUAUUUAAUUUAGACUAAUCUAAAGCUGAGUGAAACUUUGUACCCUCUCUGAUUUCUCCCUAUAAUCAGGAACACUCUGAUUUCCCCUUCCCCCAUGACCCAGUCUGAGUGGCUGGGAGAUGGGGGAGAGGUACUCAGGAAAGCGACCUCCAGGUAAAGGCAGCAGCUAUUUGUGCCAGCCUGUCUGCUUGCCUAAUAACAGGUGGCAAACAUGUCCAACCAUAUCAUCCCUAGCUCUUGUUCUGUUUGAAUUUCUCUUUACUUUACACACAAUUCUUGGGAAGGCGUAAUCCUUUACACUUUUGCAUGUGAGUUUUUCAAGGCAUUGCACAUGUCAGCGGAGAUAAAUCUCCCAUGGAAGAGGCUGAAAUCCUAAUGCUGUUCUUCCACCAUUAUGCUCCUAGGUUUGGGUGGAAUUUGAUGGGGCAGAGGUUGUGCCCUAUAGUUUUAAUGUUGGGGUGUUUUUGGUCAGUGUUGUUUUGUCUGUGUUUAGAGGCAUCAAUAUGCACAAGAGAAUCUGUUUUGGACAGUAUCCAAGGUCAAAAAGAAUUCAGCAGCUUUGGCAAAAUGUUCCCUUCUGUCUGUGGUUUACAGAUUCAUCCAUAUGUGAGAUCUUAAAGAAGUAUCUUUCACUCUCUGUUGCUAUCAUCUCUGAUAAUUAGACUUGGCUUUGCUGCUUUCUCUCUCUCCCCGUCUUUCUUUUGUUUUAAACACCACAUGACUGCUUUCAGUGGAUAAGGCAAGUGGAGAAGAAAAGGAUCCAGUAGUGGCCCUCAACUGGCAGGCACUCAGCAAGCAAAUCAGCAGGUUCCCCUGCUAAAGAACCAUGCUGACAUCUAGUUAAUGUUCUUAUUUGCUAAAGUAAUGAGACUCAACCUGCCUGUGACUCUCAAUCUUUUACAAACCAAAAUUUGUAGUCUUUGCUCAUAGGCAAGAAAAAAAAAUGAUCUGCAGUAGCCCCAAGUUUAAAUCAGCAAAUUUGUUUCGUAAACAGCAGAAGUACCCGGGGUGCAGUUCUCCGGGGGGAGCUCAGGUGCGAUGGGCUCUUCCAGUCCUCUCCUCUUCUGGCAGUUGUUAAGUUUGUCGCAUACCUAAAUAUGCCAAGUGUAACCCACAGCAGGAGGGGGUUGUCAGAGGACAAAUAUAAUUUUUAUUCUCCUCUCUGAUGUAACUGUGGGUCAGUCAUCUCGUGGUCCUCACAGAUGAUUGGUUCACUGGUAUUAUUUAUCUCAUUUUGGUCCAACAACAGAGACCAUAGACACUCAUAACUUCCCCUUGAAGCAACCAUUCUACUAAUUAAAAUGAAAAGCGCCUGAUUCUGUUUCUCCUAAAAAUAUAAUUCUUUUUCUGAUUAGAGAUGCAAUUUAAAAAAAAAAAAAAAAAAGGCAAAAAUGGGUAUCUUAUUUUUGUCUGUUGGCUCACAAAACCUGCAUGAACACGAGUUUUAUGUGUGUGAAACUGCCAAAUUGGAGCCAGGGUAGAAACUCUCAAGGGUCUGAAUGUUGAGCAAAAGAGAUAGAUGAAACAGCUGAGUUACUGAACUGAGAAACAUAUGUGCUGUACUUACACAUUUACCAGCGCUCUAAAGAUUUUCUGAUAUGUGGCUGCUCUCUUGAAAAUUAUUUACAUGGCAUUCUGGAGUUGUUCCCACAGAUAUGAUUCCAUUUUGAUCUGCCAAUUACAUUAUGUGCUGUUGCAAAGAAGUUUGUAAAUGAGUCUUUGUUCCUUAGAUGGAAAGCGUUUUGAAGGAGUUCUACCAGCCUGAUGGUAAAUCAUGAACGUCAAAAAUGAGGCUGUCUAAAAAUACAUUAGAGGUUGAUGUAAACAUUGCUGGUAUCAGAGGAGAUGGUUCCCAUCAACUUUUGGGAAUGCUGAAUCUGAUGUCCCUUUACAUACACCAAGUUGCUCAGGACAGACCUCCUCCUUCAUGAUGCCCAUGGAAAUCACUGCAGAUUUGACAGCUCUGGCUCCUGGUAACUCCUGUGGGCUCCUCGAGUCCAUAGCAAGGACAGCUGCCCAAAGCCAAGGUUCACCCUCAUGGGAGGUGGGUACAGAAAAAAAGUCUGCUGUUCAGCUGGACCAGGAAGAGAAGUGGAGAAGUUUUCAGUGGCAUUUUCAGAGGUGUUUCACAGCCAGGAGUGUUACAGGAGUGGAAGACCUUGUGCUUUUGAUAAGUCUGUGCCACAGUGGGAUUCUGGCAUCCCUUAGAUGAGACGCCCAUGAGCCCUGAGGAAUCACAUUGCCUUGCAGCCACUGUACAGCCAUGAAAACCAGCUGAAAACAAAACCGAGCCUCUUCGGAGAAAGCCCCACAAGUGACCUCUUCAGCAAAGUGGACAAAGAUUUACAUUGGCUUCUCUUCUCCCCGGCUAUCACUUACACUACAUGCACACUGUUGUUCCUCCUGCCUGUGCCAUUGUACUUCCCUUCUAACCUGUUUUCAACCUGCAAAGGCUUUUGCAAGGAAGUCAGCACGCAGCAAUGGUGUGAGCUUACAGCACGUUGGCUGCUUUGUGCUAAUUUCCCAUUAGUGCACAUAGGCGGUAGUUUCGAAGAUAGGUGCGGUGCCUUGUAUGUCAGUGGGUGUUCUAAGGUCUGCAGCUGGGCAGAUGGAUCAGUACUGCCUGACAUAUCAGCUUAUAGUGCAAGGAGACCGUUACUUCAAAUGAAUUUGCUAUGGGACCGUAAAAAGCCUCUGUUAUGAAUAGUCUUCUACAGACAGGAUGAUGUAACAUCCAGUAUAAGGCACCAUAACUGUGUUGUUUACAUUUUUGGUGUGCUGUCCCAUAUAUAAAUCCCCAGUGCUCCAAAAAACAAUGCAUUAAAAGUUAAGGAUGAAUCCAAUCAAUAACCUACUGCGUUAUUCAUGGGUUCAGCGAUGCAGAGUUAAUCCUUUGGGACAAUGACAUUAGGACAUUUGAACAAAACGUACAGCACCCUGCCUAACACCCAGUCUGCACGGAGGAUAAAACCCACUGCUACAACCUUCAUCUUCUCCCUCCAGGGAUAGAGACGUUCCUGCUCAGCACUGGAACUUCUGGAGAUGAUAAACACAAGCAACUCAUCCCCAGCUCCAUCCUGAGCACCUUCAGCAUUGCCACUCAGCACCUCAAAAUUGUGUGCGUCCAAUGCCAACUGCCCACCAUGGCAAAGGAACAAGACAUUUGCUCCAAGUUUCAGUGUUAAUAAAGAAGGUGAAUCUUUCACACCAGUGGUUGCAGAUGUCAUGCACUUGCCUCCUGCUAUUUGGAUCCACUGUGCUGCAGAGAGUGAACCAGGCAAACCCACCUGUAGAGGAGGGCAGGGAAAGUGAAAUCCCGAGCACCAAGCAGAGUCUUGCUGGAGACCACCGAGGAGACACAGCAUCAGCAAUUGCUGACAAAGCCCAUUGCACCAUCAGAACCAAGCCAAGGAUGAAAGAACGUGACACCAAUCUGUAUUUCCAGCAACCUUUGUUGGAAAGGUGGUCUGCGCUCAUGAAUACUGUUGUUAUACCUACAGCCCCCAAAGAGCAACCUACUUGAGCUGUGACAGAGCUGCUCAUAUAACCAAGGGUAUAUGGUUAUGUAGCCUGUCUGGGGAUGUAAGCACAUUUACCUGUAGACUAAAGGAGAUGACCGAAUCCUUGUAAAUGAGCACAAAACAUCGCGAUGCCUAUGCCUUCAAACACCAAAGGAUGAGCAUGAACAGUGUCUCUAGAGCCACUCCAGACUCUAGACACUCAGCACUAGGUGUCCUGUGCUGAGAUACGACUACUGCUACUGACCACAGCUCACGUGCACGUGUCACAGGACCAGUCAAGGUCGUAAACUUAAGCAUAUUUAUAUCUCUUGGUAGGAACAGAGCUGUAAUUAUAUUUUGGGUGUUUCUUGCCUUCUUCAAUUGCUGCCAGUGCUGCUUGUUUGCUACAGCGUAACCCGUGGCAUAUUUUAUAGGUUUUCAACCUUUGCACACAAUGGAUUAGAAAGAAAGUCAAUUAUGCAUAAGAUUGAAAGAGUUAUGUAAAUAUAAAACCAAUAUAAUGUAUUAUUUACAUACAGCCUGUACUUACCCUAAGUAACUUCUGCAGAAACCUGGGCUAUCACAAACAGCUCACACCUAAUUUCUGAGCCCUAUUCCAGAAAAGAGGGGAGGAUUCUGGCUACCUUAAAUCAGUGCUAAUAUUUUCUAGAUGAGAGCAUAUUUGUAUAAGAACAUAACUCAACAUAACACGGAUGGACAACAAGCAGGAUAAAUCUCUAUCAUUUAUUACAUUUGCUGAGCGAUCAAAGGUGUCUAACUAGACAUUUUUCCUCAUUGGUUGUUUGCAUUAGAUAUGCAAAUCUCCUUUCUUGCAGAGCCAUUUCUGAAUAUAUUUGCGAGGCUAUUGAUGUCCAUUACUUCACUUAAAUAUAGAUCAGAAAUACUGACAAAUAUUUUCAUUCAAAGAGUUUGAUCAUUUUCAGAUUACUCUCCAUGCUAGUAAUUAACCUCAGUCAACACCCUUCCAUAGCACUUUCAAACACAGUUCCUAGCAAACAUAAAGUUUCAUAAAUAUGUACUAAAUAACCUUAAAGCCCUUUAUGAAUAAUUAUGAGUUUUUAAGUUUUUGUGAAUCUGCAUAUUAAUUCCACGCCAUAAAUAAUACAUGAAGCAAAAAUCCAGCUUGUUUGGUGUCUGGGGACAGAGAAAGAAAAGGAGGGGAUAAUUAUCAGUUUAAUGUGGGAAAAUACUUAACCUAAAAGAUUAUCUUCAAAACUGAUGACUCUAUAGGUUUGUAUAUACGUGUGUGUAUAAAUACAUAUAAGUAUAUAAAAUAUACGUGUAUGAAGAUAGGUUUGUCUGCAGAUACGCAUCCAGCCUGAGAAAGCCUUAAUUUGAGGCAUGUUACAUUCCUGUCUCCUCUGUGCCAUGCUGAGCUCUUCAAGUGCAAAGUGAUGCGAUGAGCUCAGCCUCCACACAACCCUUCUUUCUAUAAACGUAUGUUCCCCCAAAGGUAGAAAAUUAAUGAGAGGCUGCUGACUAAAAUUACUACAUUUUGCCUUCUGUGGGACAUUAUGGAUUUAAAAGAUAAGCAAGAGUGCAGCAAGUCCAAAAACAAUUUCAUUUCGUUAAUCCUUUAAGUGCCUCGGGAUGAGCAGCCCAUGUCCAGCAAAGGUGAUGCUUCUGCAUGCCUAUUGCACAGCAGUACUUGCACACUCUGCUUCUCGGCUCCACAUGGAAGGCAUCCAGUGGGGUGGGAUGAUGUAUGGCUGAAUGGUCUUAGGCUGACACUUCCUGGAUGCUCGCUGACAGUAAUAGGAAACGUAAGCGGUGUGCAGAGACAGCUCGUAGGUAAAGCAGGGAGUGUGAAUAGGAUUUUUCCUCUUUAUUCCGUACAGCUUACAGCAAAGAAAAGGCAUUUUCUGCUCAAAUGUCUUUGAACAAAACAAAGUGGAAACUAUUAUGUUUCAAAACCAGGACCCGGGAACAUAUUCCAUGUUUGCCUUUGUCAAAGGAGUACAACGAUUUAUAGUUUGGGAAGAAAAUCAUUGCAUUCCAAUUUUAUAUUUUUCAAUAAGUGACUCCAUUUAUUUUUUACAUAUUAAUCCACCUCCAUAAUGAAAAUAGAUUUCACUUCUCAUUUCAAGUCCUUCAGAUCUAUUUCACUUCCCGGUCAUGCUCAGCGCUUGGCUAGGAGAAUGAAAGGCAGUAUUUCAAAUAAUAGCAACUCAAUAGCAAGCCUGUUCUCUUGGUUUUAAUGCAGAAAGAAGAAAAGAUAAACCAAAUUUGUACAAGAAUCUUCAGAGAUAGGAGCACUCCCUUGUUCUGACGCCAUUUCCCAGCCCUGCAGCAUCAGGAGAGCAGUGCUGUUGGUGCGGGGGUGCUGCCGGGAGCAGGGUGAGGGGCUGGGGAUAGGAUCCCACAGAAGCGACUGAAUCCAAAGCUCAACUUAAGACUGCUCAGAAAGAUUCCAGGAGGGGGUGAGGGGCUGCUGGAGGUGCCGGCAGCACUGUCUCGUCACGGCAGCCUGCUAAUUAACCGUGAUGGGUUUUAAAGCCUCAGCUGGAAGCAGCUUCUGGAGAAACGGAUGGAGCACCCAGGUUUGUUUUGUAUCCAAAAAGGGGGACACAGAGUUGAAAAGAAUUGUUGUAAAGGCCUGCAUCAGUGUUAUUCUGCAUCCGUCUGCUUUGCGUACCGUUUGCUAGGAAUUUAUAAAGUAACAUACAUUCAGUAUGAAGGAAAAAAAAAAAACAAACAACAGAUCUUUAAAAUAUUGAACUGUGGCUGCUGUGCCUCGUGGAAAGGUACAGGCUUCUCGUCCGGGAGUUGCAUUGUGUGGAUGCAAACCUGUUGAUGAGUGGUUUAAGCUAAUUCUCAUUUAUACUGGACUCAUAAAUCCAUAAACUUUGGUAAGAACUCAGCUGCAGCCGAUGUUAUUGGUUGAACUGUUUUCAUCUGAAGCCCAUUCUGAAUCCCCAACAAAAAUAGUAGGCCAGAUGCCCAGACAGCAGCUAGAGACCCUCAUUAGGCAUCAUUUGCAUCCUAUUAACCACUGAGCUGUGGGUCAUUCGCUGCCUGUCAACCAUUCAAGUCAUUCCUUUUGUGUUAAUUAGUAGAGAAAUAAGGAGUUAAUGAAGAUCUUAUGAUCUGUGAUGAUUCAUCUUUGUUGUUUCAAACGAAUCCCUGCUCUCCGAGCACCCCAAUGAGCUCCUGCACACCGAAUAAUAGAGGAAUAGUGGAGGGAGCUUAGGGCGGCCUUUGGAGUGCCAUUCUCUGGGGACCUUUUGCAUGGUGGGCUUUGUUAGCUAAAGAUUAGAAGGAGUUAAUUGCUUCAAGAUUGCUCGCAGAUUAGGUUACAUGGUGUGUUGUAUCUAUGUAAGCAUAUGUCAGGUCUAGUUAAAAGAUAGAAGAUGCUUAUUUUAAUAAAAUUAUGAAAGGAAGAAUUAAUUUGUCAUUAUUGUAGAAAUCUUAUUUCUACCCUUAAUUUGAGCACUUUCAGAUAAAUGCAGGGCUGGUUUCCGUCUCAUUUUCCUGCUCCAAAUGGGAGGGUCCCAGUUUUCCUGCCCAUUCUGGGGACAGCACAGCAUGGCUGUGGAAAGACACAGAUGGAAAACCCAAAUCAACAGACAAGCAGUAAGAGCAGCUCUUCUUCUUUAGGAAUUUUCUUUAGGAAGAAAUGAUUCCUCUUUCCACGCUAGUUCUGGUGAACACAUUCUCACAUCCAGCAAGCUGACAACAAAGUUCCACAACAGGGGUGAUGAAAUGCACAGACCUUCAUGGCCUGGCUAUAUAAGAAGACACCAGAAGUGAAAUAUACUUG
This 14204-nucleotide long non-coding RNA is filed under the name Gallus gallus (chicken). RNAcentral describes it as "lncRNA (ENSGALG00010002979.1)". The record is from RNAcentral. Lineage: Eukaryota; Metazoa; Chordata; Aves; Galliformes; Phasianidae.